GAGGCGCCAAACCUUACAUUACAUUCCCUCCCGGCUGUAGGGCUGGCGGCUAAGGCUGCGCUGCCCGCGGUGAUGGCGAUUCAGACCCAAAUUAGCAAAAUGCGCUAGAGGUUAGCCUGGGCGGAAAGUAAGUAGAGACCAUGCCCAUCGUCGACCGGACUGCGGUCAGCCUCCUUGGCGUCUGAGGUGGGCGUGCUCGGGGCGAACGCCCGCCCCGAGUGGCGUGGACGCGUCCUGGUUCUCGUGCGCCUUUCCCGGCCGGGAGCAGGCCUGUCUCGCCGCCGCCGGGGCCGCGUUCCUUCCGCUGCGUGGGGCUUUAAGGCUCCUCGGCUGGGAAGUGUCAACUUCAGGAGAAAGCGCCCGAAAGCAGUACCCUAGGAAACAGGCGCGCCGACCCAUUCGGAUUCAUCUUUACCUACAAGGUCGCGGGCGGCUUAGUCUGAAUGUGAAACCAUAAAAACUCAGCGUAUUCUCAGCUACUGGGGAGGCGAUCUCGGGGAGCAGGGAGCCAGCGGCGCUGGCCGCAGGGAAGCCUGGAUUCUGAAGCCCGGCCCGUGACUGGGGCCUUGGCUUCAGUUCUACCCCUCGUAGGGCUGGUGGAGGUGGUCACACGUCUGCUAUGGCGUGGCUGUUAGAACAAACUGGAAUAAAAUACUUAGCCCUGA
This 665-nucleotide long non-coding RNA is filed under the name Homo sapiens (human). RNAcentral's name for it is "HSALNT0343729". The record is from RNAcentral. Lineage: Eukaryota; Metazoa; Chordata; Mammalia; Primates; Hominidae.